UACGUAGGGUGCAAGCGUUAUCCGGAAUUACUGGGCGUAAAGCGCACGUAGGCGGCUUGUUAAGUCAGGGGUGAAAUCCUGGAGCUCAACUCCAGAACUGCCUUUGAUACUGAAGAUCUUGAGUUCGGGAGAGGUGAGUGGAACUGCGAGUGUAGAGGUGAAAUUCGUAGAUAUUCGCAAGAACACCAGUGGCGAAGGCGGCUCACUGGCCCGAUACUGACGCUGAGGUGCGAAAGCGUGGGGAGCAAACAGG
RNAcentral lists this ribosomal RNA (253 nucleotides) under uncultured bacterium. RNAcentral describes it as "partial 16S ribosomal RNA". It matches the Rfam family "Bacterial small subunit ribosomal RNA", at positions 524 to 776 of the family's 1533-position model. The record is from RNAcentral.